RNAcentral lists this small RNA (28 nucleotides) under Bombyx mori (domestic silkworm). Its description in RNAcentral is "ovarian small RNA-28021". Lineage: Eukaryota; Metazoa; Arthropoda; Insecta; Lepidoptera; Bombycidae. The record is from RNAcentral.
UCCUUAUCGAUACAUAUAACUUAUUCUA